AUUGAACGCUGGCGGCGUGCCUAACACAUGCAAGUCGAGCGGUAACAGGUGUAGCAAUACAUGCUGACGAGCGGCGAACGGGUGAGUAAUGCUUCGGAAUCUGCCCAUGUAGUGGGGAAUAACCAGCCGAAAGGUUGGCUAAUACCGCAUACGACCUACGGGUGAAAGCAGGGGAUCGCAAGACCUUGCGCUAUUGGAUGAGCCGAAGUCGGAUAGCUUGUUGGUGAGGUAACGGCUCACCAAGGCGACGAUCCGUAGCUGGUCUGAGAGGACGACCAGCCACACUGGGACUGAGACACGGCCCAGACUCCUACGGGAGGCAGCAGUGGGAAUAUUGGACAAUGGGGCAACCCUGAUCCAGCGACGCCGCGUGUGUGAAGAAGGCCU
RNAcentral lists this ribosomal RNA (387 nucleotides) under uncultured bacterium. RNAcentral's name for it is "bacterial SSU rRNA". It matches the Rfam family "Bacterial small subunit ribosomal RNA", at positions 30 to 417 of the family's 1533-position model. The record is from RNAcentral.